Xenopus tropicalis (tropical clawed frog) is the source of this 1191-nucleotide long non-coding RNA. RefSeq lists it as uncharacterized. The record is from RefSeq and is a predicted model, not a curated record. The transcript is spliced from 3 exons. Lineage: Eukaryota; Metazoa; Chordata; Amphibia; Anura; Pipidae.
AGGGGAACUCCGCCCAAAAGUGUUUUUGCAUGAUGAAAGCAUCUUCCCAAUAUACAGCACAUGAAUGAACCACUCUCAGGUUAUUUGUUAAUGUUAUUGCUACUGAGAGCGGUAUCUGUUUAUAUUUUCUGCACUGCUGCUUCUGACUCCCGGCACAAUGUAGCAGGAGGAAGGUGAUUGCUGCUACAUUGUUUAGAACCAGAGAACGGAGAGGGUGGGAUUACUGAGUAGGGUGGAAGUGCCGUCAGUCUGGCAGCUCGAGUAGGGUGGAAGUGCUGUGGGUCUGGCAGCUCGAGUAGGGUGGAAGUGCCGUCGGUCUGGCAGCUCCCUGUUGUAAAGUCUGGGGGAUUUAAUGUCACAGCAAUAAAAACAUUGUACAUAUCCCAUGUAUCCCCUCGCUCCUCCAAUCAGUCUCCUAAUCAUUAACUUGUUGUUGCCUGAUGCUAAAACCCUCAGGAGCCAACCUGCACUCAUUUACUUAAGCUUUGCUCUGAUUAAGCCUAUUUCCUGCAUUAGAAGGCAGAUACCUUAUCUGAUUGCAUUUAUUCCUAAAUAGUAGCCUCUGUGUAUUCUAACUAGCCCCUCACCUCCGCCUUAUAUAAACCCACAGCGCAAGGGUUGGAAGUGAUCGUUUGGCACGAGCCGGGGGCUUGGGAAACCUCACAGGCAGGACAAAAAGGUUGAAUUCAAUGGAUGUGUCUUUUGUCAGCCUCACCUACUAUGCCGACUUCAUAGGUGGCAGCUACGGUGAAAGCCCUGUGUCGCUACUUUCCUGGGGGAACAAAGGAGAUCAAAGGCGUUUGUGCGGCUUUAGCCCAAUCUCAGGAGCCGGACGGGCGACUCUGCUAUGAUUAAAGGGUAAGGCUAAGGUCAGGAAGGGUUUUGACCAUGGCUAGAUGAGGGAUUUGCAAGGGGCUAGUCCUACCGGGGCCUGGGGCCAAACAGAUUUUGUGAGGGCCAAUUAUUUGUCAUAAAUAGGACUGACCAACCCCUGACCCCUUUGGCUGACCUCCCUGGGUGAGACUGCCCCCCCCUCCCACCAUAUCUGCUAUCCCCCCACUUCAGUGCUAAAUCUGCUGCUCUGCUGGGGUUCAUUUACACCCCAAAUGAUAGAUCCAAGGCUAAUGAUUGCUAAAGGUGCCCAUACACGGGCCGAUUGUAUGUAUGUAUGUAUGUAUAACUUUAUUUAUA